RNAcentral lists this ribosomal RNA (468 nucleotides) under uncultured bacterium. RNAcentral's name for it is "partial 16S ribosomal RNA". It matches the Rfam family "Bacterial small subunit ribosomal RNA", at positions 28 to 507 of the family's 1533-position model. The record is from RNAcentral.
GACGAACGCUGGCGGCGUGCUUAACACAUGCAAGUCGAACGGAAAGGCCAUGCUUUUGUGGGCUGCUCGAGAGGCUAUGGGGUGCGUAACACGUGAGUACCCUGACCUAGCCUUUCGGGUAGCUUCAGGUAACUAGGGCUAAUACCGGAUAGGAGCUCCUGCUGCUUUGUGGGGCUUGGAAAUUUUCGGCGGUUUGGGAUGGACCCGCGGCUUAUCAGCUUGUUGGUGGGGUAGUUGCUUCGCAAGGCUUCGACGGAUCGCCGGCCUGAGAGGGUGACCGGGCACAUUGGGACUGAGGUACGACCCAGACUGCUACGGGGGGCAUCGGUGGGAAAUAUAGCACAAUGGGCGGAAGCCGGAUGCAACGACGCCGCGUGGGGGAUGACGGUCUUCGGGGAAGAAAGCGCUUGAGCGUGGGACGAAGCGAGUGUGACGGUAAUGGAUAAAGAAGCACCGGCUAACUACGUG